AGAUUUAACGUUAAUCAAAAUUUUUUCGAUCCUGCAUCUUAUCUAACAUAAAGACGAGGAAUUGGAAAGUUUCAAAUCUUGUCCACAUAUGUCGCUGUAGUCGCAAGGUGGUGAACAGCCAUAAUGAAUUGUAUGAAAGGAAGAAACGAAAGGAACGGAACGGAAUGGUAUGGAAUCAAUGGACAGCAGGCAGGUGCCAACAUGGCGAUUGUUGCGCUCUGGACUUGUGCGACAUCGCCCUGUAUAAUGAUAUCGUUUUAAGUGCUUAUUAAAGCAGUGGAAAUAAAGUGACAAGAAAAACAAUGUCUUAAAUGGCUCAGGAUAUAUGGAAAGCAUAUUAACUUUAGCAAAAUGUCAACGAGAUCGCAACUCACUAAGGAUUUAAACGAAUCGGUGAAAGCAUUACUUGGUAAGCAUGUCAAGAUACUACUAAAAAAUGUUGUCAAGUUAGAAACCAAGCAGGAUAAGCAAGAAAACCGCGUUCUUGUAUUUUCACCAUGCCGUCUUUUUCUUUUAACGGCCAAAGUACCCACAAGGAUCGACUGCCACUUCCAUUACUUAGAAAUAGUAUCUAUAGAAUCCAAAAGAGCAAACCAAUUAUGUUUAACUGUAGGAGAAAGAUUUUACAAUUUUACUACAACCAGUGUGGGUGCAGAUACUACCGAAGUCGAUGCAAUGAUCGAGGCCUUACAUACUGCUAUUCGCAAUAUCUUUCCUACAGUACCAUUAAAUUAUAUUAUAAGAAAGAUAGAGGUAAUCCCAGCAAGCAGAUUACAAACCAUAAGAGGUAGUGAAUUAGCCAGGAGCACGGAAGCAACAAGACACACUGGGCCUUGUGGUGGUUUUUCCACUCAAUAUGCGUGUAUGUGCGAUUUACAUGGUGUACCAUAUAGAGAAGAAGUUGCUUGGGAUGUAGACACAAUAUAUUUAUCCCACGAUACCAGAGAACUUAACUUAAGGGAUUUUGACCAUUUAGAUCAAAAAGAUUUGGUACCGAUAAUAUCAGCCUUGGAAUAUAAUACAUGGUUUACUAAGUUGAGAGCGUCGCAUCUUAAGUUAAGCCAUGAACCACUUGAAAGAUUAUUGCAUGUUAUGCGUAGGUCAUUGUCUAUUCAAGAACUCUAUUUGGAUAAUCUUGGAGUUAAAUGGGAUUUUGCACACAAAUUGUCAUUAGCCUUGAUUUCUAAUGCUAAUACAAUGUUACAGACAAUAGAUUUGUCACAUAAUAUGAUCGAGGACAAAGGAGCAUCUAGCUUGUGUGGGAUAAUUGCCAAGUUAAUGCAAGGAGCUACACAUUUAAGUGGCCCUAUUGGAAAAUUACCUAAAGGAUUACAAAAAUUAAAUUUGGCUCAUUGUGGAUUAACUGGAAAAGGCAUUGGUCAAAUAGCACAUGCAUUAAGUUUAAAUAGGAGUAUGCCAACUAGUCUGCAAUACUUAAAUCUUUCAGAAAAUACUUUGAAAGAUGAUAUUAAUAAUUUAUGUAACUUUCUGGCACAGCCUAAUAGUUUAACACAUUUAGAUCUUAGUGGUACAGAUACAACCUUAGAAUGUCUAUUUGGUGCUUUAUUGCGAGGUUGUGCAACUAAUCUAGUCCAUCUAAACGUUGCUCGCAAUUCUUUUUCAAGUAAAAAGACCAAAGAAAUACCUCCCAGUUUUAAGCAAUUUUUUACAGCGACACUUUCAUUAAAGUACUUAAACAUCUCAUUCUGUAAAUUACCUCUGGAGGCAUUAAAACAUUUGUUACUUGGAUUGGCAUGUAAUGAAAGUACAGUAGGUUUAGAACUUGAUAUGAGUGGAAAUAAUUUAGGUUCUAUGGGUGCUCAUGUUUUGGAAUCAUGUAUACAUGGUGUAAGAUGCAUAGCAUCAUUGGAUAUUUCGGACAGCAAUAUGGAUGUUGAUUUAGCGCAAGUAAUAACAGCCAUAGGUAAAAACAAAUCUAUCAAACAAUUAUAUAUGGGUCGAAAUACAACUGGCAUGAAAAGCAAACACAUUGCCGUUGUAAUGGAUGCUUUGGUCCAAAUGCUCCAAGAGGAUGAUUGCGUUUUACAAGCAUUACAUAUACCUGAUUCUCGUCUUAAAUCUGAUCUCUAUAAUUUGAUUAACGCUUUAGGAAGUAAUACCUGUCUUCAUACAUUAGACAUAAGUGGAAAUCAAAUUGGUGAUCCUGGUGCAAGAUUAUUAGCCAAAGCAUUACAAAUCAAUAACCAUUUAAGGACCAUCAUUUAUGAUAAAAAUAAUAUUACGCUUCAAGGUUAUGCUGAUAUCGUGCAUGCUUUGGAGAAAAAUUGUAGCGUCAGGCAUAUGCCAUUUCCAAUUUUUGAUCUACAACCGUGUAUGAAAACGUCUGCUGAAAAAACAGAGCAAUUAGCUAAAAAAAUUCAAGAUUUACUGCAGAGAAAUGUAACACCAUGUAAAUACAGUCAUGGACAAGCAUUUAGACUUCAGCAAGGUUUCUUGUUAAGUUCUACACAACAGAUGGUCGAUAGACUUGUCGUUCAAACUCAGGAUACUAUAAAAGCUAUAGCUGCAGAAAGCUGUGAUGCAAAUAAUGACAUUAAUUAUGCUACCGGUCUAAUACAAGAUGCUGAUAAUUCUAAACAGCUUCUUCCAAGAUUACACGAAGUACUACAAAGAAGAGAUGAAAAUAAUCCAAUUGAAUUAAAAUUACACGAUAUGGCAAGCGAACUUCACAAAGUUGUUACUAUGUACUUAGAGGAUUCAUUAGAUGCAAUGCUUAAAUGUGCAAAUGAACAAUGUCCAACUAUACUCUCACAAACAGUAAUUAGAGGAGAUGAAAGCGAACCUAUUGCUGUAGAGGAUGAUGUUCGUAAUAUUUGUAAGGAGAAAAAUCAUAUAAGCACAGAAUUUAUUCAUACCACUAUUACAGAACAAGCUGGUGCUGAUAUUAUUAAUAGAGUCAAUGAGUUAAAUUUAGCAGUUGCUGCGUAUGUAUCUGAUAGAACCACUGAUGAAGUAAUCGAAUCUUUGUCACGUAGUUACAAGACUUUGAUUGGAGAUUGUGACAGUCGAACAAGAAGUAGUACUCCAGAUGUAUUACGACCAAGUGCAGGUUCCAUGAGUAGUGGAAGUGUUAUUGGUGUUACAAGUGCUACUGGUGUUUCUAUGACAUUGCAUGGUGGAAGGACUAGUCUUAUUUCAGAAGUUGAGUGUCCUCCAGAAACGUAUUCCUUGGAAAAUUCUCUUAGCCAUUGUUCCAGUGAACAAUCCCCAAUGAAAUUGGAUUAUUUGAAUCUUGCAACUCCACAUUUAUCUAAUAAAAGGAAAAGUUUACAUGGGAGAAAAUUAAGACCAAAAUCGGUAGUAGAUUCUGUAGAAGGAUUGUCAGCAGACGAUAUACCUGAUUUACUUCCAUCACUGCCAAAAAGUCAGGCAGAAGCUAUUUCAGAAACUGAACAUUCCUUGACAGAAUCGUUAGAUUCUGUCUCAGAAUUACCUAAUACAGUGGGUCAACAAUUACAACAUUUAGUUAAAUCUAGACCACGAAGAACAAAAACUAGAGCACCCACAAGACCAAUGUUAAGACCAGAUCAACCUGUAGAUGGUUUAGCUCUUGGUGAAGGAUUAGAUGUAUUUUUCCGGCCUACAACACCAACUACACCACUUAUAUCGCCUACGAGCGAUGAUAGUUCUUUACAUACAUUUCCAACGGAUGGAAGUCCAAAUUUAUCUUUGGCGAGUCAUAAAAGUAUACCACCUGAUCUAGAUAAAAAGCAUGGAUGUAAUUCACCGAUGUUAAAAACAUUACUUGAACCAACACCACGUUCAAGGUCUAGCGAUAAUUUAGAAAAAUUUUCUCCGCUGGUAGGAAGACGUUCACAAGGUGAUUCGCCAUUAACUGCAUCUCCUUUAGCUCGUCGAAAUACAACAGAUAAUGCUCAAGGACAUGAUAGAGUAAUGUCUAGAUGUGAUAGUAGUAAGGAUACGUAUAAUAACAGUAUUAUGAGUACUUCCGUUGAUUCUUCCAAACGAAAUACUUUACCAAAUAUUGGAUCGAUUCCAACAUCUCGGGAAGACUGUGGAAAAAUAUUACAAUUACAAAAUAAUACGAAUUCGUCAUUAGAAAAGGAUAAAUCUAGCGCACAAGCAAUGUCUUCUGUUAAAUUACGUUCUACUGGUUUUGAUCUUCGAAGUCCGACCAAUGGCAGCAACACCAAAAAUUCAUCUGAAUCAUCUAAGUCACCAAUAUUAAAAUCUGUUAAAGGAAAUAAUUCUAGUAGCGAUGGAAAAAAUAAUGGUGCUCAUUUAAAAAAUAAACCUAUUCCUCCUGCUACAGCACCAAAACCACGACCAUGGAGCAUGGCUGCUGAUAGGAAAUCUGGUGAAUUUAGCUUAUUAAGUGAUGGGUCCAGUCCAAAUACAUCUGCAGGAAAUACACCUGACUCCGGUGAUGCUCUUGACGAAUCAACUGAUAGUGGUGUUAGUGGUCCUGCAUCAUUACCACCUACAUUAUCUGCAAGCAGUACAGCAAGUUCAUUGAGCAACACGAGUGUAGAGAAAAGAUCGGUCAGGGAAUUGGCUGCUAGUUUAAAUAAAGGAAAGGCUGACAAGAAAGAAAAUGCUUUAAAAUAGUUUGGAAAUGCAUGACAUGCCUUAAAUUCAUGAGCCUUGCUGUAUAUAUUAUUUUAGAGAAUAGCACACCUGCACCAUGGAGGUCGGUGCUUCAACGUUCUGCUGACCGACCAGUUACCAAGGUAACGGAAGUGCCGAAAACGGUUGAAGAUUC
Molecule: unclassified non-coding RNA, 4744 nt
Filed under: Polistes dominula (European paper wasp)
Lineage: Eukaryota; Metazoa; Arthropoda; Insecta; Hymenoptera; Vespidae
Description: leucine-rich repeat-containing protein 16A, transcript variant X3
Source: RNAcentral